Molecule: ribosomal RNA, 819 nt
Filed under: Oceanobacillus sp.
Lineage: Bacteria; Bacillati; Bacillota; Bacilli; Caryophanales; Bacillaceae
Description: bacterial SSU rRNA
Rfam family: Bacterial small subunit ribosomal RNA
Source: RNAcentral
GGCGGACGGGUGAGUAACACGUGGGCAACCUGCCUGUAAGACUGGGAUAACCCCGGGAAACCGGGGCUAAUACCGGAUAAUACUUUCUUUUGCAUAAAGGAAAGUUGAAAGGCGGCUUCGGCUGUCACUUACAGAUGGGCCCGCGGCGCAUUAGCUAGUUGGUGAGGUAACGGCUCACCAAGGCGACGAUGCGUAGCCGACCUGAGAGGGUGAUCGGCCACACUGGGACUGAGACACGGCCCAGACUCCUACGGGAGGCAGCAGUAGGGAAUCUUCCGCAAUGGACGAAAGUCUGACGGAGCAACGCCGCGUGAGUGAUGAAGGUUUUCGGAUCGUAAAACUCUGUUGUUAGGGAAGAACAAGUUGGGUAGUAACUGACCCAACCUUGACGGUACCUAACCAGAAAGCCACGGCUAACUACGUGCCAGCAGCCGCGGUAAUACGUAGGUGGCAAGCGUUGUCCGGAAUUAUUGGGCGUAAAGCGCUCGCAGGCGGUCCUUUAAGUCUGAUGUGAAAUCUCGCGGCUCAACCGCGAACGGUCAUUGGAAACUGGAGGACUUGAGUACAGAAGAGGAGAGUGGAAUUCCACGUGUAGCGGUGAAAUGCGUAGAGAUGUGGAGGAACACCAGUGGCGAAGGCGACUCUCUGGUCUGUAACUGACGCUGAGGANCGAAAGCGUGGGGAGCGAACAGGAUUAGAUACCCUGGUAGUCCACGCCGUAAACGAUGAGUGCUAGGUGUUAGGGGGUUUCCGCCCCUUAGUGCUGAAGUUAACGCAUUAAGCACUCCGCCUGGGGAGUACGGCCGCAGGCUGAAACUC